RNAcentral lists this ribosomal RNA (250 nucleotides) under uncultured bacterium. RNAcentral's name for it is "partial 16S ribosomal RNA". It matches the Rfam family "Bacterial small subunit ribosomal RNA", at positions 524 to 773 of the family's 1533-position model. The record is from RNAcentral.
UACGUAGGUGGCAAGCGUUGUCCGGAAUUAUUGGGCGUAAAGAGCGCGUAGGCGGGAUACUAAGUCUGUUGUAAAAGUGCGGGGCUCAACCCCGUAAGGUCAAUGAAAACUGGUAUACUUGAGUGCAGGAGAGGAAAGUGGAAUUCCCAGUGUAGCGGUGAAAUGCGUAGAUAUUGGGAGGAACACCAGUGGCGAAGGCGACUUUCUGGACUGUGUCUGACGCUGAGGCGCAAAAGCCAGGGGAGCGAAC